RNAcentral lists this ribosomal RNA (279 nucleotides) under uncultured bacterium. RNAcentral's name for it is "partial 16S ribosomal RNA". It matches the Rfam family "Bacterial small subunit ribosomal RNA", at positions 506 to 784 of the family's 1533-position model. The record is from RNAcentral.
UGCCAGCAGCCGCGGUAAUACGGAGGGUGCAAGCGUUGUUCGGAAUUACUGGGCGUAAAGCGCGCGUAGGCGGCUAGAUCAGUCGGAUGUGAAAGCCCCGGGCUUAACCUGGGAACUGCAUUCGAUACUGUCUAGCUAGAGUAUGGUAGAGGGAAGUGGAAUUCCGGGUGUAGCGGUGAAAUGCGUAGAUAUCCGGAGGAACACCAGUGGCGAAGGCGACUUCCUGGACCAAUACUGACGCUGAGGCGCGAAGGCGUGGGUAGCGAACCGGAUUAGAUA